UUCAUUUACCGCCCUAUCAUUUUAUUAUUUAAUCCCAUUGAUUUCGCGAAUUACUAACAUUGUAAUUGUCAUCUAACAGUUUACAUUUCAUCAGUUUGCUCAGAUAUCAUAUAGUCUUUUAUUCUAACUCUACUAUUUGUGUUUCAAGUAAUUUGUGUGAUUAAUCUGCAAUAAAAUUAUGGGACGUUUAGCUGUUGUUACUGGAUCCAAUAAAGGAAUUGGAUUUGCCAUCGUCGAAGCGCUUUGCAAAAAAUUUGAUGGAACUGUUAUGUUAUGUUCAAGAGAUUUGGAACGAGGACAAAAAGCGGUUGACGUUCUUAAACAAAAAGGUUUAAAUCCUGUUCUACAUCAACUGGAAAUAUCUGACCAAAACAGCAUCAAUAAAUUGGCUGAGACGAUCAAGAAUGAAUAUCAAGGUUUGGACAUUCUUGUCAAUAAUGCAGCUAUAGCUUAUAAACACGAUGCAACAGAGCCUUUCGUUAAACAAGCUGAGGACACUAUAAAUGUCAACUUUUUUGCCAAUCUCGAUGUUUGUAAGACAUUAUUUCCUCUAUUAAGACCUCAUGCUAGAGUUGUCAAUCUUUCAAGCUCUCUUGGUAUGUUGAAGCAAGUAUCUAGUCCAGAGAUACGAACGAAACUCUCCAAUCCUAAUUUGACUGAGGAUCAAUUGAUUUCGAUUGUUAAGGAAUAUUUAGCUGAUGUUAAAGCGGGUGUUCACUUAGACAAAGGUUGGCCUCAAACAGCAUACUCUACCUCUAAAGUUUUCGUGUCUGCUUUGACUUUCAUUCAACAACGAGAGUUCAACAAAGACACCAGGGAAGAUAUCGUCAUCAAUGCUGUGCAUCCAGGAUAUGUCGAUACUGACAUGACAAGUCACAAGGGACCAUUGACUAUAGAGGAAGGAGCUUCAGCGCCUGUUUACUGUGCGUUACUGCCACCUAAUAGCACGAAACCUAAAGGUGAUAUGGUUUGGUGCAACUCGAAGAUAGUUGAUUGGCAAUCAUUGGAAUCAGUGGAAUAAAAUAAUCACAAUUAUGUGUUGGAUCACUACAUCAGAGAUAUUAAACAAAAAAGAAAACAAAAACUUUCCUUUAAAAAUUGGUAUAACUUCGUAAUAAUGUAAUAACUCUAUAACAUUUAUUUCAUAUUAAUAAUAAAGUUACUCUCAUGAA
This is a non-coding RNA of Tetranychus urticae (two-spotted spider mite), 1172 nucleotides long. The record is from RefSeq and is a predicted model, not a curated record. Lineage: Eukaryota; Metazoa; Arthropoda; Arachnida; Trombidiformes; Tetranychidae.